GGAAAGUUCAAAGCUGAAAAAGCUGAAAAGAAAGGUUGAAAGAAUCCAGAAUGAUGUGGAGUUAGAAAAAAAAAGAGUAAUCGAGACUGACAUUGUAAGAAAAAGAAAACUUCUGAAAAGACAAAGGUUUCCAACCUCUAUAUCAGAAGCCAGUUCUGAAGAAUAUGCAGUUCCUGUUGCAAAAAGAACUUGCCAAAGACGUACAAGGGAGACUAUCGAUGCCUGUAAUGAAAUCCAUGGUGGUACAAGGGAGAAUAGAAGUCCAAUACUGGAUGCUUUGUGGCUGACUUUAGUUAAGGAAGCCACACCGUUUCAGUUGGGAAAGUAAUUUUCCUUAUCUAAGAAAGUAAUGAAGAAAGUUUUACCUCACAUAGUGAAGGAAAGUAUUCCAACUUUUGAGAAUAGCUUUGACAAUAAAAUUAGAAGCCUAAGAGUAUCGUACAGCAAGGGAUUGUUGAGUAAGGAGAAAUAUAAAAGUAUUAGGCUCAAUCUUUCCAUGAAUACUUGCAAAAGUGGCAAGAAACUGGAAAGCUUUAAGUUUAUGUCAAGUGUUUGCUUGCCAAAGAUCUUGCCCUAUGAGAAAUUGAUAACUUUUGUCAAAAGCAUUGAUGUUGGAAAUGUUAAUGAUUUCAAACAUUUUUGCUAUGAUUUAGAUGCAGAUGAAGUUGUGGAAGGGUCAUAUAGAGAGCUACAACCAUUUCUGUUGCAGCUUGCUGAUAUAUAUAUUUACUUAGAUAAGACUAGUCCAUCCCUGUGUCAUUUUGGAUCCGAACCGUAUCACUUAAGAGUAGCUCUAGGUGCUGAUGGUGCCCCCUUCGGCAAAGAUGACAAGACCACUUCUUGGCUUGUAUCAUUCCUUAAUGUAGGUCAGCAAAUUGCAAGUGAAACUGACAACUUUAUUCUUGCAGGAGCAAAUUGUAGUGAAUCUCACCUCUUAAUGCAGCACUACGCACGAAAGCUUGUUUCUGAUGUGGGUGACAUAGACUGUCAUAGAUUGUAAGACUUUUUACCUGCCAGUUAGCAAAACUUCAGCUAGCUUUACUCAAGUUAAUUCCCUCUGACAUGAAGUGGGCCUCCACAUUCAGUGGAGAACUAGCAAACUCAGCAUUUUACUUUUCUCCAUUUGGCAAUGUUAACAAUGACAACUAGUCCAUAGUUAAUGCUAGUUUGGGUCAAUCUGAACAAUGCCUAUGGAAGCCAUGGGUGUACAAACAGAGGCUUCAGGUAGCAACAAAGGUUAAAGGAAAGAGUUGGGUCAAACAAGACUUGCCAAGUCUACAAAAAGAACUAAGUUGUUGGAUUAUAUAAGAAGUCUAAAUUCCCAUCAAGAAAUUACUCCCCUUUUGGGUCCCCUGGUUGACAAGAUUUUUGCUGAGCCUCUGCAUAGUUCAAACAAUGCAUGUCAGCAAUUACAUGAGCUUAUGCUUGUCCAUGCCAAUGACAAUAGCAAGCUCGCACCCAAUUGUACUAAUCCAGUUAGGGAUGUACCGGGAUGUGCUUUAGCCUCCCAUCUUACCACUUUGAAAGAAAUUGGGGCUAGUAGAUUGUACAAGAAGGUUAAAAAGUGGUGCUCCCAGGGACAGAAGGGAUUCCUCUCCUAUCGAUUCACAGGGAAAGAGACGAGAAAGUUCUGCCACAAUUUUAUGUCUAUCCUAAAGGCAAUUUUGCGUGAGGACGACAGUCCUCAGCAACAGCUCCAAAUUUGCACAUUUGCAUUCAUUGGCCUUCAGCUAAGAGACACUAUCAGCCGGUUUAGUCGUGUCACAAUAGCUGAGGGUGUCUUGCAGGAAAUCAAAGACCACAGACCUCCUGUAUAGGAAACUUGGCUUAGGGUUAGGAAUUAAUACUAUGCAAGGGAGGGAGGCUAAACAAUUUCUGUGAAAUUGACAAGCUUUAGGAAAAGUCUCAAAAACAAAUACAUGUUCUAUAUAAGGGGAAAGGGUCAAAAACCAUUGAUGUCACAUAUCCCUGUUGGAUAUUUGGGGAAAGUCCCUCCCCCCCUAACUCCUGGUAACAAUAUUCUAUCUGAUUCAUUCAUCUUGAAAUUUUACAUAAUGAAACUUAUCAAACAGCUGAUUAUGCUUAUGUGCUGUACUUAACAUGGUUUCAAAAAGAGUUAUUUGAAUAAAAUAAUUUUAAAUGUGUAUUCAUGUGCUGUAUUUUACAUGGUCUUUAAGAGUUAUUUGAAUAAAACAAUUCCAACUAUGUGUUCAUGAACUGUACUUUUCAUGGUUUGAGUUAAUUAAUUAGUUAAUUAAACUGAACAAAAUGAUUGAUGACAAGGAUUGAAUACCUAAAUAAACAGCCAACAGUUUCUUGCAUUUAGCUGACAUAAUUAUGGAAAUUAUGCCAAUUAUUUCUAGCACUGUUUUUUGCUGAUCUCAGCAAACGGUCCUGUUAUUCUUUAUGCCAGAGAGUGCUGAGGAACUCCCAGCCUAUUGUAAUGUCCAUACCCGAGGCUGAUUUUCAUAAUUUCAGAGUUUUUUCAAUAUGUAAACUUAGCUGGAUAGUCACCAGUGACAAUCAUCUGGCUAAAGGAACCAUCUUUUUCCUUUUUGAGGACGACAUUGCUCUUAUGGAUUGUUCCUUUUCGAUAUUUAUUUGCCAGUGAGAGAAAGAGACCCUUCAUCUCUCCCAUAUCUGUGAUGUGUAUCUCAUGGACAGCACAUGCGUUCCUGACAACCACACCACCAGCAACAGGAGCUAAAGCAACAACCUUGAAACAAUCACACCUCCCAUGGUAAAUUCCAUGAGAAAUUGACAGUCCAUGGCCGGGAAGCACGCGUUUUUCGCUUCAUUUUUCUCAGCAUUCUGAUGUGCCAAAAGGCAACAAUCCUUGCCAACAUUCUUGCGGGCUGAGCUAAAUGAAAUUUGAAAGCCCUUUCACUGUCGAAUAUGUGUUUCUUGAUAACUGCUCUACUCAACACUAAAAGCUCGCCCCCGAUUUCUGUUGCUAAAGCUUUGUCUUUAAUAGAAUUCUUGUAAUCAUUCACAGCUUCGUGGAGUUUUACUAAAAGGGCUGCCAUAUUGAAAGCACCAUUUGUAUAGAGAUCGCUGACCAGUUUCUUACGGGCUCACUGUUAUCGAAAUGGCACGAUUUGGCAAGCUGCCAGCCCGGCGUGGUAGCUUUGUUGCGCUUAUGAUAUUUGUGUUGUUUUGAUUUAUCUAUA
Pocillopora damicornis (cauliflower coral) is the source of this 3170-nucleotide non-coding RNA. Lineage: Eukaryota; Metazoa; Cnidaria; Anthozoa; Scleractinia; Pocilloporidae. The record is from RefSeq and is a predicted model, not a curated record.